This 72-nucleotide transfer RNA is filed under the name Rodentolepis nana. Its description in RNAcentral is "Hymenolepis nana tRNA". It matches the Rfam family "tRNA". Rfam says of the family: Transfer RNA (tRNA) molecules are approximately 80 nucleotides in length. Lineage: Eukaryota; Metazoa; Platyhelminthes; Cestoda; Cyclophyllidea; Hymenolepididae. The record is from Rfam by way of RNAcentral.
GGCUCAGUGGUCGAAGGGUAUGAUUCUUGCUUUGGAUUCGUGUGGUUUCGGGUUCAAAUCCCGGCUGAGCCC